GGGUUAGUCGGGACCUAAGCUGAGGCCGAAAGGCGUAGGUGAUGGACAACAGGUUGAUAUUCCUGUACUACCGAUAACCGUUUGAGAGAUGGGAUGACACAGUAGGAUAAGCUAAGCACACUGUUGGCUAUGUGUGCCCAAGCAUUGAGGCAGUCAAAGUAGGCAAAUCCGCUUUGAUAAUGCUGGGAUGUGAUGGGGAGCGAAAUUUAGUAGCGAA
RNAcentral lists this ribosomal RNA (217 nucleotides) under Clostridioides difficile. RNAcentral's name for it is "partial 23S ribosomal RNA". It matches the Rfam family "Bacterial large subunit ribosomal RNA", at positions 1377 to 1589 of the family's 2925-position model. Lineage: Bacteria; Bacillati; Bacillota; Clostridia; Peptostreptococcales; Peptostreptococcaceae. The record is from RNAcentral.